CAUUUUUGAGAAAUAACAUAAGUACUAUAAGUAUUUUAAGGCCUAAUUAAGCCCUCAAAAACC
This 63-nucleotide transfer RNA is filed under the name Simosthenurus occidentalis (short-faced kangaroo). RNAcentral's name for it is "tRNA-Lys". The record is from RNAcentral. Lineage: Eukaryota; Metazoa; Chordata; Mammalia; Diprotodontia; Macropodidae.